Long non-coding RNA from Homo sapiens (human), 2010 nucleotides. Ensembl annotates it as RAD21 antisense RNA 1. Its record names the gene RAD21-AS1. The record is from Ensembl. Lineage: Eukaryota; Metazoa; Chordata; Mammalia; Primates; Hominidae.
AAGGGGGCUGGGCGGGUGGCGCCGCCGCUUGGGCGCCGGGAGGGUGGCAGCACGCGUGGGCGCGGCGAGGGCUGCCUUCUCCCUCGCCCUCCCGCCCCCAGGAGUCCGGCUCCCCGACGGCAGAGCGGCGGGGAAAGGGUGGGGGGAGGGAGCUGGAGGAAAAGAAGGGGUCGGCCGAGUCUCUUACCUUGCUCUCCGCUGGGAGUUGGGCGGGCUGGGUGGCCCGGGGAGGGGAAAAGGGUCGGGGGAGGGGGUGGGGAAAGGGGGGAGCCCUUGCGAGGUGUAGCUUCCGAGCAGCUCCCGCCGCCGCCACAGCCGGCGCCUCCUUUCCGAUUCACUCAAACAAACAAGAUGGCUGCCGUUACGCCGCGGCUCUUCCUGCCGCCCAAAUCCUCGGUUCAAAUCGGCAGGAUGUUUACGGUCAAAAUGGUACCUGUGCGCCUGCGCAGCCAGCCCAAGCCCCCCCCUCCCCCCAGAAGGAGCGGCGCAGGCGCAAUGACUAUUUCCUUUUCUUUGGAACCCGCCCUCUGUUUGUGGAGUCCACAACUGAGCAAGCGCAAAGAGAUCUUUCCAGUGAUGAAAGAAAUUGAAGAGGACACACAAAAAUGGAAAUAUAUUCCAUGUUCAUGGAUUGGAAGAAUCAAUAUUGUUAAAAUUUCCAUACUACCCAGAGCAAUCUACAGAUUCAAUGUAAUCCCUAUCAAAAUAUCAAUGACAUUCUUCACAGAAAGAGGAAAAAAAUCCUAAAAUUUAUAUGGAACCACAAUAAGACCAAGAAUAGCCAAAGCAAUCCUGAGCAAAAGAAUAAAGCUGGAGGCAUCACAUUACCUGACUUCAAAUUAUACUACAAAGUGAUAGUAAACAAAACAGCAUGGUGCUGGCAUAAAAACAGACACAUAGACUAACGGAACAGAAUAGAGGACCUAUAAAUAAAUCAAUACAUAUACAGUCAACUAAUUUCUGACAAAGCUGCCAAGAACAUACGUUGGGAAAAGGAUGGUCUCUUCCAAAAAUUGUUCUGGAAAAACUAGAUAACUAUAUGUAGAAGAAUGAAACAGAUCACUAUCUUUUGCCAUAUUAAAAAAAUCAAAACAAAAUGGCUUGAAGACUGGAAUCUAAGAUUUGAAACUAUUGAAACUACUAGAAGAAAACGUUAGGGAAAUGCUCCAGAACCAAAUAUUUCUUAGUAAGACCUUAAAAGCAUAGGCAAGCAAAGCAAAAAUGGACAAAUGGGAUCAUGCCAAGCUAAGAACCUUCUGCAAAGCAAACAACAAAGUGAAGAGACAACCCAUCAAGUGGGGGAAAAUACUUGCAAACUACUCAUCUAUCACAGAAUUAAUAGCCAUAAUAUAUAAGGAGCUCAAACAAUAUAAUAGGAAAAUAAUCCAAUUAAAAUUGAGCAAAAGACCUGAAUGGUUAUUUCUCAAAAAAGACAUACAAAUGGCCAACAGGGAUAUGAAAAAAUGCUUAACAUCACUAAUCAUCAGAGAAAUGCAUAUCAAAACUAGGAUGAGGUAUAAUCUCAUCCCAGUUGAAAUGGCUUUUAUCCAAAAUACAGGCAAUAAUGAAUGCUGAUAAAGAUGUGGAGAAAGAGAAACACUCGUACACUGUUGGUAGGAAUGUAUGUUAGUACAGCACUGUGAAGAACAGUAUAGAGAUUCCUUAAAAACCUAAAUAUAGAGCCACCAUAUGAGCCAGCAAUCCCACUCCUGAGUAAAUACCCCCCCCCAAAAAAAAAGGAAAUCAGUACAUCAGAGUGGUAUCUGCCCUCUCACAUUUAUUGCAGCAAGAUUCACAAUUGUCAAGAUAUGGUAUCAACGUAAGUGUCCAUCAGUGGAUAGAUGGGUAAAGAAAAUGUGGUACACAUACACAAGAUAAUAUUUUUCAGCCAUAAAAAAGAAAAAAAGUCCUUUCAUUUGCUGCAACAUGGAUAGAACUGGAAGACAUUAAGUGAAAUAAACCAGGCACAGAAAGACAUUAGUGUGAAUGUUCACACUAAUAUGUGGGAGC